RNAcentral lists this ribosomal RNA (396 nucleotides) under uncultured bacterium. Its description in RNAcentral is "partial 16S ribosomal RNA". It matches the Rfam family "Bacterial small subunit ribosomal RNA", at positions 523 to 918 of the family's 1533-position model. The record is from RNAcentral.
GUACAGAGGGUGCAAGCGUUAAUCGGAUUUACUGGGCGUAAAGCGCGCGUAGGUGGCUAAUUAAGUCAAAUGUGAAAUCCCCGAGCUUAACUUGGGAAUUGCAUUCGAUACUGGUUAGCUAGAGUAUGGGAGAGGAUGGUAGAAUUCCAGGUGUAGCGGUGAAAUGCGUAGAGAUCUGGAGGAAUACCGAUGGCGAAGGCAGCCAUCUGGCCUAAUACUGACACUGAGGUGCGAAAGCAUGGGGAGCAAACAGGAUUAGAUACCCUGGUAGUCCAUGCCGUAAACGAUGUCUACUAGCCGUUGGGGCCCUUGAGGCUUUAGUGGCGCAGCUAACGCGAUAAGUAGACCGCCUGGGGAGUACGGUCGCAAGACUAAAACUCAAAUGAAUUGACGGGG